CAAUAGCGUAUAUUAAAGUUGUUGCAGUUAAAAAGCUCGUAGUUGGACCUUGGACCUGGACAGGCGGUCCGCCUCACGGCGUGUACUGUCUUGCUGGGUCUUUCCUCUUGGUGAUCUGUUGUUUCGGCAGCAGGGAACCAGGACUUUUACUUUGAAAAAAUUAGAGUGUUCAAAGCAGGCUCGACGCCGGAAUAUAUUAGCAUGGAAUAAUAAAAUAGGACGUGCGGUUCUAUUUUGUUGGUUUUUGGAAUCGCCGUAAUGAUUAAUAGGGACAGUCGGGGGCAUUAGUACUCUCAUGCUAGAGGUGAAAUUCUUGGAUUUUGUGAAGACUAACUUCUGCGAAAGCAUUUGCCAAGGAUGUUUUCAUUAA
Molecule: ribosomal RNA, 370 nt
Filed under: uncultured eukaryote
Lineage: Eukaryota
Description: partial 18S ribosomal RNA
Rfam family: Eukaryotic small subunit ribosomal RNA
Source: RNAcentral